UACGGGGGGAGCAAGCGUUGUUCGGAUUUACUGGGCGUAAAGGGCGCGUAGGCGGCCUCCGCAGGUCAAUUGUGAAAUCUCCGGGCUUAACUCGGAAAGGCCAACUGAUACUGCGGGGCUAGAGUGCGGAAGGGGCAACUGGAAUUCUUGGUGUAGCGGUGAAAUGCGUAGAUAUCAAGAGGAACACCUGCGGCGAAGGCGGGUUGCUGGGCCGACACUGACGCUGAGGCGCGAAAGCUAGGGGAGCGAACGGG
RNAcentral lists this ribosomal RNA (254 nucleotides) under uncultured bacterium. RNAcentral's name for it is "partial 16S ribosomal RNA". It matches the Rfam family "Bacterial small subunit ribosomal RNA", at positions 524 to 776 of the family's 1533-position model. The record is from RNAcentral.